This 329-nucleotide ribosomal RNA is filed under the name Travisia forbesii. RNAcentral describes it as "eukaryotic LSU rRNA". It matches the Rfam family "Eukaryotic large subunit ribosomal RNA", at positions 42 to 365 of the family's 3401-position model. The record is from RNAcentral. Lineage: Eukaryota; Metazoa; Annelida; Polychaeta; Opheliidae.
AUUACUAAGCGGAGGAAAAGAAACUAACAAGGAUUCCCCUAGUAACGGCGAGUGAAGCGGGAAGAGCCCAGCACCGAAUCCCCUGGCCUUGGUCAGCGGGAACUGUGGUGUUUAGGACGGCCUUUGUUGUCGGCAUGGAGCGUCCGAGUCCUCCUGAUCGGGGCUUCACCCAGAGCGGGUGUCAGGCCUCUACGGCCCUCCGUCCGUCAGCUUACACCGUCCUUGGAGUCGGGUUGUUUGGGAAUGCAGCCCUAAGUGGGUGGUAAACUCCAUCUAAGGCUAAAUACAGACACGAGUCCGAUAGCGGACAAGUACCGUGAGGGAAAGUU